GACGAACGCUGGCGGCGUGCUUAACACAUGCAAGUCGAACGAAGAGCGAUGGAAGCUUGCUUCUAUCAAUCUUAGUGGCGAACGGGUGAGUAACGCGUAAUCAACCUGCCCUUCAGAGGGGGACAACAGUUGGAAACGACUGCUAAUACCGCAUACGAUCUGACCUCGGCAUCGAGGAUAGAUGAAAGGUGGCCUCUAUUUAUAAGCUAUCACUGAAGGAGGGGAUUGCGUCUGAUUAGCUAGUUGGAGGGGUAACGGCCCACCAAGGCGAUGAUCAGUAGCCGGUCUGAGAGGAUGAACGGCCACAUUGGGACUGAGACACGGCCCAGACUCCUACGGGAGGCAGCAGUGGGGAAUCUUCCGCAAUGGACGAAAGUCUGACGGAGCAACGCCGCGUGAGUGAUGACGGCCUUCGGGUUGUAAAGCUCUGUUAAUCGGGACGAAAGGCCUUCUUGCGAAUAGUUAGAAGGAUUGACGGACUAGAAUAGAAAGCCACG
RNAcentral lists this ribosomal RNA (497 nucleotides) under Veillonella dispar. Its description in RNAcentral is "bacterial SSU rRNA". It matches the Rfam family "Bacterial small subunit ribosomal RNA", at positions 28 to 495 of the family's 1533-position model. The record is from RNAcentral. Lineage: Bacteria; Bacillati; Bacillota; Negativicutes; Veillonellales; Veillonellaceae.